Molecule: ribosomal RNA, 446 nt
Filed under: uncultured bacterium
Lineage: Bacteria
Description: partial 16S ribosomal RNA
Rfam family: Bacterial small subunit ribosomal RNA
Source: RNAcentral
CCUACGGGGGGCAGCAGUCGAGAAUCAUUCACAAUGGGGGAAACCCUGAUGGUGCGACGCCGCGUGGGGGAAUGAAGGUCUUCGGAUUGUAAACCCCUGUCAUGUGGGAGCAAAUUAAAAAGAUAGUACCACACGAGGAAGAGACGGCUAACUCUGUGCCAGCAGCCGCGGUAAUACAGAGGUCUCAAGCGUUGUUCGGAAUCACUGGGCGUAAAGCGUGCGUAGGCUGUUUCGUAAGUCGUGUGUGAAAGGCGCGGGCUCAACCCGCGGACGGCACAUGAUACUGCGAGACUAGAGUAAUGGAGGGGGAACCGGAAUGCUCGGUGUAGCAGUGAAAUGCGUAGAUAUCGAGAGGAACACUCGUGGCGAAGGCGGGUUCCUGGACAUUAACUGACGCUGAGGCACGAAGGCCAGGGGAGCGAAAGGGAUUAGAUACCCUUGUAGUC